Molecule: ribosomal RNA, 459 nt
Filed under: uncultured bacterium
Lineage: Bacteria
Description: partial 16S ribosomal RNA
Rfam family: Bacterial small subunit ribosomal RNA
Source: RNAcentral
CCUACGGGAGGCUGCAGUGAGGAAUAUUGGUCAAUGGCCGCAGGGCUGAACCAGCCAAGUCGCGUGAGGGAUGACGGUCCUAUGGAUUGUAAACCUCUUUUGUCAGGGAGCAAAGGGCGCCACGUGUGGCGCUUUGCGAGUACCUGAAGAAAAAGCAUCGGCUAACUCCGUGCCAGCAGCCGCGGUAAUACGGAGGAUGCGAGCGUUCUCCGGAUUUAUUGGGUUUAAAGGGUGCGCAGGCGGAAUGUCAAGUCAGCGGUAAAAUUUCGGGGCUCAACCCCGUCGUGCCGUUGAAACUGGCGUUCUUGAGUGAGCGAGAAGUAUGCGGAAUGCGUGGUGUAGCGGUGAAAUGCAUAGAUAUCACGCAGAACUCCGAUUGCGAAGGCAGCAUACCGGCGCUCAACUGACGCUCAUGCACGAAAGCGUGGGUAUCGAACAGGAUUAGAUACCCGGGUAGUC